Molecule: ribosomal RNA, 373 nt
Filed under: uncultured organism
Description: partial 16S ribosomal RNA
Rfam family: Bacterial small subunit ribosomal RNA
Source: RNAcentral
GUAGGUGGCAAGCGUUGUCCGGAAUUAUUGGGCGUAAAGCGCGCGCAGGCGGUUCUUUAAGUCUGAUGUGAAAGCCCACGGCUCAACCGUGGAGGGUCAUUGGAAACUGGAGAACUUGAGUACAGAAGAGGAAAGCGGAAUUCCACGUGUAGCGGUGAAAUGCGUAGAGAUGUGGAGGAACACCAGUGGCGAAGGCGGCUUUCUGGUCUGUAACUGACGCUGGGGCGCGAAAGCGUGGGGAGCAAACAGGGAUUAGAUACCCUGGUAGUCCACGCCGUAAACGAUGAGUGCUAAGUGUUAGGGGGUUUCCCGCCCCUUAGCGCUGCAGCUAACGCAUUAAGCACUCCGCCUGGGGAGUACGGCCGCAAGGCUG